UUCAAGGACAUUGGCAGAUGUAGAGGAGGCAAUGAGGACGGAGAUGAUUGCGGUGCACAAUUUAAAUAAACCAGAAUAUCCUAAAAAUUAUAUUUGGUGUAUAGAAUUCAGUUUUAGUCUUUGAGUACAUUUUCAUGAUUCACUAACUCCUGUAGUGAGUAAAAAUAUAUAAAACUACAUGACUUGUAAAUUUUUGUGUCCGUCGUGCGUCCCAACGAUUCCACCGGCAUCGGCCCUCCCCUACCCUGGUGCGGACUAUAGUAUUAGCUGUCUCCUUGGAGUCCUGAAGCAGCUCAAGGGCAUUGUCCUUGGUGCGCCUCCUCAAGGCUUGAUGCUUUCUACAGGAAAAAAAUGGUUCUUUUCUUUGAGAUGAGGAAAAUUACUUCCCUUUCUACAGGAAAAGAUGGUUAUGUUAGAUAAAUGUCUUCCCAAGUUAAAGGCACAUGGCUCUGAAGUACUAAUAUUCUCUGAGGGGCACCAUAACAUGUGAAAAUUUUGAAGAGCUUUGUGAAGAUUUGUGGGAGCAGCUCCGACUCCAAUUAAAGAAGUUCCACGCAGCGGGCAUGAAGAUUGGUCACAUCUAUAUGUAUAGUUGUGCUGCAGGACAUGUGCUAUUUUGAAAAUGGAGCUUCUCUAUUGGAUGGCAGCUCAUGGUGGUAGUUUCAGAUAUGAAGCUAAGGAAAGCGCACCUCAUAAUUCAUUAGAUGUAACCCAAUAGGGCCCAUUAGAUAUUGUUGGUUGUAAAUGGCAUGAGUUUUUAGCUUUCAUAAAAUCUAGAUAUGUACUCUUUAACAAUAAGCUGUGGAGGAGAGUGGUCUUAAAUGUGCUGGUUGAAUUUACCAAUGUUGGUUCAUUUUGGUUUUACUGACCACAUUGCAUAGUAAGUUUAUAUAUUUGAUACAAGUCAAGACAUAUUUUACAAGAAUGAUUAUAGAUCCACCUAUGCUGGUGCUAGAUCUAUCGCUCAUGUGAAUUGUAUAAAAUAAUAUGUCAAUUCUGCACUUAGAA
Triticum urartu is the source of this 1008-nucleotide non-coding RNA. The record is from RefSeq and is a predicted model, not a curated record. NCBI's taxonomy places the organism in Eukaryota, Viridiplantae, Streptophyta, Magnoliopsida, Poales, Poaceae.